AAGCGCCUAAAUAGUCCCUCAAUUCCUUUUUCAGUAUCUUGAAUAUUUGCCUCCAGUUCUUGGAGCAAAUUUUGAACAUUGUCGACUUGCACGGUGUAACCAGAUUUGCUUGACUUCGAACUACUAAGGGAAUGCAAAGCAGCAUCCACCUUCUCAAGUUCAUUCCUACAAAGGACAAGAAGGAUUCAAACACGGUGAAGGUGACUGCGUUUAGCCCUUUCAACAAGCUGACAGCAGCUGGAGUCUCAUAGUUCUUGUCUUGACUUUCCUUGACCUUUAAGGCGCUGUUAAUUGCCUUUGACAUCCUUCCUAGAGCUAAGACGGCAUCCUUAAUGAUUCCACACACAUCCAGGACCCUGAAGAAUCCAUCUAGUAAUUCAUUGAUCCAUUUGUCUCCGCACUUUUCGGCCAAGGCUUGUUUAGUUAGUGGCAAAAGAAGAAAACUUUCAACACUAUCGUAUAAAUCUUGAAGUCCACUGAGUUUGUGGCAUAUGGACGAUGCAUGGUGCUGAAGCUUUUAAUCCGCAUGCAUAUCUGCUUAUCAAAUUCUGUAACAAAAGGUUGUGAUGUUGAAGGCAUUCUGUGGAGCAAGCAUGGAAGACUGCCAUUUUCUUUUAAUGAAAAAGAGGAAUUUUACUUUGAAAUUUUAUGCUUAACUGGUGCUUUCAGUUUGCAGCUUCCUUCCCUUUGGCAUCUGUUUAUAUAUUUACAUGGUUAGGGUGACAAGAACAACUCAUCCUCUCACAGCUGAAUGAGCAGAAACAUGAUUCGAUCUGGAUCCAUCAACUAUAAAUUUUACUUCUAAUAUCGGAUGAGUAUCUUCAGUUUGGCAGCAAUAUCAUGUGAUGCGUCACACAACUAUCCCUAAAAUAUGUAGCUCAGGAGUGGUACUGUAUCAUCAUCUAUGUAUAAAAUGAAGUCAAUAGUUCUAUCCAGCAUUGCAGCUCUGCCUGUCUGCCUGCCCGACGACGAGUUCUGUGUAUCACUCUUCGCAGAAACUAUUCUGCAUUAAUUAAUUAAUUAUAGAACAAGCUUGCAUGAAUUAAGAGCUGUCAUCCGGACAACUUGAUUUGAAGGUCUGGUAGGUGCUUUGUCAUCCAUUUUAACGACAAUGAGGAAGAAGAUAUGGAAGAUAAGGUUGGCAUUCAGAUCCGUCAUCCAAAUUUCAUUAUACAAAGAAAACAGAAGGUGAGAAACUAUGAUGACUGCAAUUUGUUGUAUCACACACAAAGUCGAUGCAACUCGUGCACUGUGUAUUUUAUGGAUUUUUUACAAUACAAAAAUUGGGUGGUGAGUAGGAGAGUUGGGAGGUAGGGGGAACACGGCAUGUACAUUAUUGAGGUACCAUGCAUGUUCCAGUCCUCUUGAUCAAAUACCUUUCAUUUGAUAAAUAAUAAGGAAGAGAUACUUCUUGUCUCCUACUAUCCACAUGAUAUUUGAAUAGUCAAUCAUCAUCCUCUUACAUAUAUUAAGCAGGUGUCGCGUAGGAAGGUCAAUCACUGGACUAGUACAUUCAACGGCAAAACCUUUUUUUCUCUUGAUAAAAAUAUGGUUGAGAAAAAAUCCAAUUGCCAUGCUCGCUCUAACAUCUUUCGCUCAACAAAACAUCUUCUCGUCUCUUAAUAUAUUUUGUGAGCAGUUGUGCAGAUUGAGGCCUUCCGAAGGCU
Molecule: long non-coding RNA, 1667 nt
Organism: Pyrus x bretschneideri (Chinese white pear)
Lineage: Eukaryota; Viridiplantae; Streptophyta; Magnoliopsida; Rosales; Rosaceae
Exons: 4
Source: RefSeq, a predicted model, not a curated record